RNAcentral lists this ribosomal RNA (483 nucleotides) under uncultured bacterium. RNAcentral describes it as "partial 16S ribosomal RNA". It matches the Rfam family "Bacterial small subunit ribosomal RNA", at positions 30 to 506 of the family's 1533-position model. The record is from RNAcentral.
AUUGAACGCUGGCGGCAGGCCUAACACAUGCAAGUCGAGCGGAUGAAGGGAGCUUGCUCCUGGAUUCAGCGGCGGACGGGUGAGUAAUGCCUAGGAAUCUGCCUGGUAGUGGGGGAUAACGUCCGGAAACGGGCGCUAAUACCGCAUACGUCCUGAGGGAGAAAGUGGGGGAUCUUCGGACCUCACGCUAUCAGAUGAGCCUAGGUCGGAUUAGCUAGUUGGUGGGGUAAAGGCCUACCAAGGCGACGAUCCGUAACUGGUCUGAGAGGAUGAUCAGUCACACUUCAUCUGAGACGCGGUCCAUACUCUUCUGGGCGGCAGCAGUGGGGAGUGUUGGCCAAUGGGCGAUAGCCUCAUCCAGCCACGGCUCCUGUGUGAAGAAGGUCUUCGGCUUGUAAAGCACUUUACGUUGGGAGGACGCGCAGUAAGUUAAUACCUUGCUGUUUUGUCGUUCCCAACAGAAUACGCACCGGCUAACUUCGU